CGCGUAGGCGGUUUUUCAAGUCGUAUGUGAAAACUUCAGGCUUAACCUGAUGAUUGCAUAUGAAACUGGAUAACUUGAGUACAGCAGAGGAAAGUGGAAUUCCUGGUGUAGCGGUGAAAUGUGCAGAUAUCAGGAAGAACACCAGUAGCGAAGGCGGCUUUCUGGGCUGCUACUGACGCUGAGGCGCGAAAGCUAGGGGAGCAAACA
RNAcentral lists this ribosomal RNA (207 nucleotides) under uncultured bacterium. RNAcentral's name for it is "partial 16S ribosomal RNA". It matches the Rfam family "Bacterial small subunit ribosomal RNA", at positions 568 to 774 of the family's 1533-position model. The record is from RNAcentral.